AACGCACAUUGCGCCCCGUAGUAUUCCGCGGGGCAUGCCUGUUCGAGCGUCAUUAUGACCAAUCCCGCAAGGGGUCUUGGGGCCCGCCUCUCCUGGCGGCUCUUAAAAUCAGUGGCGGUGCCAUCGUGCUCUAAGCGUAGUAAUACUCCUCGCUACAGUCCCACGGUGGAUGCUUGCCAGCAACCCUCAACUCAUUAGGUUGACCUCGGAUCAGGUAGGGAUACCCGCUGAACUUAA
Molecule: unclassified non-coding RNA, 237 nt
Filed under: Ceratobasidium sp.
Lineage: Eukaryota; Fungi; Basidiomycota; Agaricomycetes; Cantharellales; Ceratobasidiaceae
Description: partial contains 5.8S ribosomal RNA, internal transcribed spacer 2, and large subunit ribosomal RNA
Source: RNAcentral